Long non-coding RNA from Dama dama (fallow deer), 3598 nucleotides. RefSeq lists it as uncharacterized. The transcript is spliced from 3 exons. NCBI's taxonomy places the organism in Eukaryota, Metazoa, Chordata, Mammalia, Artiodactyla, Cervidae. The record is from RefSeq and is a predicted model, not a curated record.
CUGAAACAUUAAUUACUGAAUAUAGGUUUAUCUGCUUUGGGCUUUUACAGACCAACUAAAGACUUUUGGGUUUAUUAGUAAACAUUUUUUGUGCCAUAAAUACUGAAAUAUUUACUAUCAGAAAACAUGUUUCAAGAAAUUUUAAAAACUGUCAAGCCACAACAUAAGAAAAACUGCUAACAUAAGACUUCAUAGUUGUUUACUAUUUGAUUUUCACUAAAAUUAAGUAUUUUUAGGGUUAAACAUUAUAAUUAAAGCUAUUAGAAAACAUAAGGGGAAUAUCUCUGGAUGCAAGGACAGUAGGAUGUGUGAUUGGACAACGGUAGGUAUGAAGAAUAGAGAUGUAUUUUUGUUGAGGAAAAAGAAGGCAAUUUUGUCCUAAAUGCAGAGUGGUUAUUUCAGAAUGGAAAAAAGGAAUAAACAUAGGAAACAACAGUAGAAAGUUUGUGGGAAAAAGAGUCUUGGGAGCUAAGUUUUAUGCGUGGUUAAGCUAUCCACGAUCCAAAUGAAUUUAUUUAAGUAAAAAAGAGUUUUAGUCAAAACUGCUUUUUCUUAAAAGGAAAAGUUCUUUUGCAUAUUGGUCUACUUCUGGUAAGCAGCUGUGAAAGGGUCUUCAAAAUAAAUUCCUGUGUUUCUCAUUAUCUUUAUUAGGUGUUUGAUUACUUGAGUAAUUCUGAGUCUUCUCUACUAAAACAGAUAUUUUAAACAAUUACACGACUUUCUUUUUUUAAUUAUUUAUUUUAAUUGGAGGCUAAUUACUUUACAACAUUGUAGUGGUUUUUGCCACACACUGACAUGAAUCAGCCAUGGGUGUACAUGUGUCCCCCAUCCCACCCCUCUGGGUCAUCCCAGGGCACCAGCCCUGAGCACCCUGUCUCAUGCAUCGAACCUGGACUGACGAUCUGUUUCACAUAUGAUGAUAUACAUGUUUCAAUGCUAUGCUCUCAAAUCAUCCCACACUCGCCUUCUCCCACAGAGUCCAAAAGUCUGUUCUUUACAUCUGUGUCUCUCUUGCUGUCUCGCAUAUAGGGUUAUCAUUACCAUCUUUCUAAUAAUAACGCAACUUUCUAUAUUUACCUGCAAAGUCUUUAUCCCCUUGUUUGAAUGGAUAACUAUUACUUCACAGUGAACUAUGAUCUUAUUUGACCAAGUAUUUUUAAACUUUUUGGUGUUUUUGACAAACUUCUCCCAAAUCAAAUUCUAAAUGUAAUCUUUUUGACCUCAAACUAACUUUGAGCUUUUCCAGAGAGCCCCUGGAACAUUUCAAAAGAUUUGUUUUCUCUCCUUAGAAAAAGAGAGAUGUUAAAUUAACUAGGCUUAUUUGACACAUUAAAUUGCAUAGGAAGCCCAGUCACAUAAAAGGUAAUACUAAGCUUCCUUUGGUUGUAUUUCUAUAGAUAUAUAAGUAUUCUUAAAAUGCAUGUCCUGGGAUAAUGUAAUCAGCCAUACUUCCAGUUACCAUCUUAAAAUGUUUAUCACAGAAUGACUAUUUCCUUAUCAAAUGAACUCUUAUCAGAUCUUUAACUAAAGUCAUUUGUAAGUCUGUCAUUUACAGAGAGUUAUUGUUUUACUCAGAUGCUUUUGCAAAAGUAUUUCUUCAAAAGUGCCUCAUCUUUAAAGAAAUUCAUGGAAAGGACUCUGACAAGUACAGGUUAGUGAUAACUUUGGUUCAUACAACUCAACUGGGUAAACACUUCCAGAACUAAUGAAAAACUGGGUUCAAGCAGAACAAGAAUUAAUAACAUGAGACUGAAUGAACUGAGGAGGAUGAUUAGAAUUUCUUAUUUGAAACAUUGCUGGUACCUUAAUAUUUUGUUUCUCCAGAUUUGAAAUUUGACCUACAACGAGGUAAAGUAUACCAUUGUAAACAGAGAUGAAACACUUUCCCCGAUUCUUCCAGGACCCAGAAACUCUUGAGUAUUCUUUUUAAGGCAAAAUAGCUAUUUUACAUAAGUUUAGUGAGAAUCUGUCAUUGUAACAGGGCACAAUUGAAUACAUCAGUAUUAAUACCAAGGCAUUGACUGUAAUAGUAUAUAUGACAGAGAUGUGUAUAGACUCAGAUAUGACCAGACAGCUGAAAAUAACUAAGAUUCACUUUUGGGAGUCAAUAAAGUCCUUUGGAAAAAUUGGACUGGUACCAAGAUUCCUGGGAACUAAACAGGCGAGUAAAAAAGGUAAUUUCCUGGUAGGUCCAGGGAACUCCAGGAUAUAUUUUUAGACCUCAGUAAGAGAGGAACUCACCCAAAGUUAUAGGUAUUGCAGGUAAAAUUGGAUUGUGAGAUUUUGGCUAUCUGCCUUCAGAGGCUUGGAGAAAGCAAUGGCAACCCACUCCAGUACUCUUGCCUGGAAAAUCCGAAGGACGGAGGAACCUGGUAGGCUGCGGUCCAUGGGGUCAUGAACAGUUGGACAUGACUGAGUGACUUCACUUUCACUUUUUACUUUCACGCGUUGGAGAAGGAAAUGGCAACCCACUCCAGUGUUCUCGCCUGGAGAAUCCCAGGGACGGCGGAGCCUGGUGGGCUGCCGUCUAUGGGGUCGCACAGAGUCGGACACGACUGAAGCGACUUAGCGGCAGCAGCUUCAGAGGCUUAAGAGUUCAACCUGAGUUUCCUUUAUAGGAAACAGUUUUUAAAAGAAUAUAAAUGGCCCAGCACUAUUCUUGCUGCACUUACGUAAUUAAUCAGGCCAAGUUUAAUAAAAACAAAUUGGGUUUACUGUUAAUGCUCUUUGGUUAAGAGAACAGUGAUUAUAGAGAAGAAAACUGUAUUUCUGCAGAUAUCAGAGUCUAAUCCUGGUAAUUGCUUUGGAGGCUUUGUUACAUCCCUGUAACCUCGAGUGGAUCUUGAAUACUUCUAGUUCCCUCAAUUGACUGGUUAUGACAUUCCAAAGUACUGUUUCCAAUUUCCUCCCACCCUUCUGACUUGGAAUCCCAAAGAACAAAGACUGCCCUUGCGUCUCCUGGCAAGGGACUCUCCCAGAUCUUCCUCACUAACCAGAUGGGAGCCAAACUGCGGGGACCUGAACCUUGGGUGUACACCUCACCUGAUACUGGGUCCUGUCCACCCACUCAAGACCUCAGAAUCGAAUCGACUGGGAAGAGAAGUAGCCAGUGUUGAGGAUUCUACUUCACUAGUCAAGACAACCUGUGGCACCUGGAUUAACAUGUCUGCGGAAACUGAAACUCAGUUACAGAAAAACACUGAACAACCCACUUGGCUUGAAAAGGCAUCUUGUAAGACGGGACCCCAGAUGGCACAGAAGGAGGGUUCCUCCAACUUGCGCUCUUGCAGAUGAUGCGGCCAGACAGCUGAGAGGAGUGAGGACACGGCACGUGGAGACAGAAAGCCGCAGCUCCGGCCUCACUGCGCAGACAUCUACCAGCUGUGGGAAUGUGGGCACACACACGAACCUCCCUGGGCUUCGGUUCCCUAAUGUGGGAAAGCCGUAACUGUCACCACACUGCUGACUUACAGGAUUGCUGUGAAAAGCAAACAGCGGCUGGGGAAGCGGCCUGUGCACUCUAAAACGCUUUCUGAAUGACAGUUAUUGGAACCUGAAACCAAAACGAACGUGUGUAACAAAACAGAAACAGACUCAC